ACAGGAUUAGAUACCCUGGUAGUCCACGCCGUAAACGAUGAUCACUGGUUGUUUGCAGGCAUAUGUAAGUGACUAAGCGAAAGUGUUAAGUGAUCCACCUGGGGAGUACGUCGGCAACGAUGAAACUCAAAGGAAUUGACGGGGGCCCGCACAAGCGGAGGAACAUGUGGUUUAAUUCGAUGAUACGCGAGGAACCUUACCCGGGCUUAAAUGUAUGUUGCAUAGAUCAGAGAUGGUCUUUUCUUUCACGAGACUACAUACAAGGUGCUGCAUGGUUGUCGUCAGCUCGUGCCGUGAGGUGUCGGGUUAAGUCCCAUAACGAGCGCAACCCUUGUCGUUAGUUGCCAUCGGGUCAAGCCGGGCACUCUAGCGAGACUGCCGCCGCAAGGCGUGAGGAAGGCGAGGAUGACGUCAAAUCAGCACGGCCCUUACGUCCGGGGCUACACACGUGUUACAAUGGUAGGUACAGAGGGCAGCUACACCGCGAGGUGAUGCAAAUCUCGAAAGCCUAUCUCAGUUCGGAUUGGAGUCUGCAACCCGACUCCAUGAAGCUGGAUUCGCUAGUAAUCGCAUAUCAGCCAUGAUGCGGUGAAUACGUUCCCGGGCCUUGUACACACCGCCCGUCAAGCCAUGGAAGCUGGGGGUACCUGAAGACUGUAACCGCAAGGAGCGGUCUAGGGUAAAACUAGUAACUGGGGCUAAGUCGUAACAAGGUACCAUCUU
This 723-nucleotide ribosomal RNA is filed under the name uncultured bacterium. Its description in RNAcentral is "bacterial SSU rRNA". It matches the Rfam family "Bacterial small subunit ribosomal RNA", at positions 772 to 1505 of the family's 1533-position model. The record is from RNAcentral.